ACCUCCCAGAUUCCUUACCCCUCAGACCUAAACACUGGUCAGAAUGGUUGCACGAGGAGGACAAGAACAAUGGAAACUGACUCACAUUCUUUUGUGACACACCAGCUAAUUUCAAACAAAC
RNAcentral lists this small nucleolar RNA (121 nucleotides) under Echinops telfairi (small Madagascar hedgehog). RNAcentral's name for it is "Small nucleolar RNA SNORA61 (ENSETEG00000026810.1)". Lineage: Eukaryota; Metazoa; Chordata; Mammalia; Afrosoricida; Tenrecidae. The record is from RNAcentral.